GACGAACGCUGGCGGCGUGCUUAACACAUGCAAGUCGAACGGAAAGGCCCUGCUUUUGUGGGUUGCUCGAGUGGCGAACGGGUGAGUAACACGUGAGUAACCUGCCCUUGACUUUGGGAUAACUUCAGGAAACUGGGGCUCAUACCGGAUAGGAGCUCCUGCUGCAUGGUGGGGGUUGGAAAGUUUCGGCGGUUGGGGAUGGACUCGCGGCUUAUCCGCUUGUUUGUGGGGUAGUGGCUUACCAAGGCUUUGACGGGUAGCCGGCCUGAGAGGGUGACCGGCCACAAUGGGACUGAGAUACGGCCCAGACUCCUACGGGAGGCAGCAGUGGGGAAUAUUGCACAAUGGGCGGAAGCCUGAUGCAGCAACGCCGCGUGCGGGAUGACGGCCUUCGGGUUGUAAACCGCUGUCGCCUGUGACGAAGCGUGAGUGACGGUAAUGGGUAAAGAAGCACCGGCUAACUACGUG
RNAcentral lists this ribosomal RNA (468 nucleotides) under uncultured bacterium. RNAcentral's name for it is "partial 16S ribosomal RNA". It matches the Rfam family "Bacterial small subunit ribosomal RNA", at positions 28 to 507 of the family's 1533-position model. The record is from RNAcentral.